This 200-nucleotide long non-coding RNA is filed under the name Lathyrus oleraceus (garden pea). RNAcentral describes it as "Pisum sativum (pea) long non-coding RNA (PSAT_LNC001554)". Lineage: Eukaryota; Viridiplantae; Streptophyta; Magnoliopsida; Fabales; Fabaceae. The record is from RNAcentral.
UUAUGGUCAAGGUUGGAGACAAGAUACAAGGCCGUCAAACAGGCAGAAUCCUUAUCAUAAUUUCAAUCAGAAUCCUCCACAAUUAGAAAAAACUUAAAAGUUGGAAGACACCUUGAAUCAGUUUAUGCAAAUGUCAAUUGUGAAUUAGAAAAAUAUUGAUGCUUCGAUAAAGAAUCUUGAAACACAAGUUGGGAAAAUUG